This 474-nucleotide ribosomal RNA is filed under the name Clostridioides difficile. RNAcentral's name for it is "bacterial LSU rRNA". It matches the Rfam family "Bacterial large subunit ribosomal RNA", at positions 764 to 1245 of the family's 2925-position model. Lineage: Bacteria; Bacillati; Bacillota; Clostridia; Peptostreptococcales; Peptostreptococcaceae. The record is from RNAcentral.
UCGUGGAGGUCCGAACCCACGAGCGUUGAAAAGCUCGGGGAUGACUUGUGGGUAGCGGUGAAAUUCCAAUCGAGCCCGGAGAUAGCUGGUUCUCCCCGAAAUAGCUUUAGGGCUAGCCUCAAGGUGAGAGAUACGGAGGUAGAGCACUGAAUGUCCUAGGGGGUAUUGCACCUACCGAAGACUAUCAAACUCCGAAUGCCGUCAUCUUAUACUUGGGAGUCAGACUGUGGGUGAUAAGAUUCAUAGUCGAAAGGGCAACAGCCCAGAUCGUCAGCUAAGGUCCCUAAAUGUAAGUUAAGUGGUAAAGGAUGUGGGAUUGCACAGACAACCAGGAUGUUGGCUUAGAAGCAGCCACUCAUUCAAAGAGUGCGUAAUAGCUCACUGGUCGAGUGAUCCUGCGCCGAAGAUUUCCGGGGCUAAAACUUACUACCGAAGCUACGGCAUCAGUAAUGAUGGGUAGGGGAGCUUCCCAUA